RNAcentral lists this signal recognition particle RNA (297 nucleotides) under Hofstenia miamia. Its description in RNAcentral is "metazoan signal recognition particle RNA". It matches the Rfam family "Metazoan signal recognition particle RNA". From Rfam's summary of the family: The signal recognition particle (SRP) is a universally conserved ribonucleoprotein. It is involved in the co-translational targeting of proteins to membranes. The eukaryotic SRP consists of a 300-nucleotide 7S RNA and six proteins: SRPs 72, 68, 54, 19, 14, and 9. The record is from RNAcentral. Lineage: Eukaryota; Metazoa; Xenacoelomorpha; Acoela; Hofsteniidae.
GCCGGGCGUAGUGGCGUGCGUCUGUAACUUCAGCUACUUGAAGGGCUUGAACUAGAGGAUCGCAGUUAGUGGAGGACAUUACUCUGAUUAUUCAUACGUAGAUCUUGCGUCCCGCCUAAGCUCUCUGUCAAUAUGGGGAUUACUCGAAGGAGUUAUUUCCAGGUUGUUUAAAGAGACGUGAACCGGCCCAGGGCGGCAACGCAGCAGGCAAAAGCUUCCGCAGUGAGUAGUAGAGGGAUAGCGCGAGUGAGUGUGAUAGUUAGAGUUACUUCGUUGAUAUGUGAGACCUAGUUCAUU